RNAcentral lists this ribosomal RNA (407 nucleotides) under uncultured bacterium. RNAcentral's name for it is "partial 16S ribosomal RNA". It matches the Rfam family "Bacterial small subunit ribosomal RNA", at positions 30 to 526 of the family's 1533-position model. The record is from RNAcentral.
AUUGAACGCUGGCGGCAGGCCUAACACAUGCAAGUCGAGCGGAGCGGCGGACGGGUGCGUAAUGCCUAGGAAUCUGCCUGGUAGUGGGGGAUAACGUCCGGAAACGGGCGCUAAUACCGCAUACUAUCAGAUGAGCCUAGGUCGGAUUGGCUAGUGGGUGGGGUAAAGCCCUCCCAGGUCGACGAUCCGUAACUGGUCUGAGAGUAUGAUCAGUCACACUGGAACUGGGACACGGUCCAGACGCCUACGGGAGGCAGCGUUGUGGAAUAUUUGACAAUGGGCGAAAGCCUUAUCCAGCCAUGCCGCGUGUGUGAAGAAGGUCUUCGGAUUGUAAAGCACUUUAAGUUGGGAGGCGUUACCAACAGAAUAAGCACCGGCUAACUUCGUGCCAGCAGCCGCGGUAAUAC